UGGAGGCCUGAGAAGAUGAGGCAGGUGUGUACCGUGCUGCCUUCCAUCGGUGAGGCCUCCAACAGAGAAGGGCGGCCAGGCAGAGCGCGCUCCUCUGCCGUCCUCAGGGGGGCAGCACUGCACCGGCCCACAGUCC
Molecule: small nucleolar RNA, 136 nt
Organism: Perognathus longimembris pacificus (Pacific pocket mouse)
Lineage: Eukaryota; Metazoa; Chordata; Mammalia; Rodentia; Heteromyidae
Product: small nucleolar RNA SNORA47
Exons: 1
Source: RefSeq, a predicted model, not a curated record